UUCAACGUCGUUGCAGACGAGGUUGUCCAAAGUUUUUCAAACAUAGCUCGGGUGGAAGAAGCUGGGGAUGUGGGAGUUGAUCAGUUUCUUCAGGUGUUGGGUUUUCGUUUGGCCUGUAUUGGCCGAAGUCAAGAGAA
Molecule: non-coding RNA, 137 nt
Organism: Arachis ipaensis
Lineage: Eukaryota; Viridiplantae; Streptophyta; Magnoliopsida; Fabales; Fabaceae
Source: RefSeq, a predicted model, not a curated record